This 345-nucleotide long non-coding RNA is filed under the name Papio anubis (olive baboon). RNAcentral's name for it is "lncRNA (ENSPANG00000050850.1)". The record is from RNAcentral. Lineage: Eukaryota; Metazoa; Chordata; Mammalia; Primates; Cercopithecidae.
AUAUGGUAAUUAGACCUUGUCCGUGAUAACCAAGAAUUCCAGUCCCAGAAGUGUUCACUGACUCCUAAAUCACAGCGGAAUGGAAGCUGGCUGAGUGAACUGCAGAUGAGGAAGCCUAGGAAAGACACAGCCACCCAAUGGAGAAAUCUCAAGAAAAAGUUCAGCCCAAGAGGCAGAAUCCAGUAUCUAGAGGAUUCAAGGCAACAGAGAAAGGAAGUGGUCCAGACUCUAGGUUCUUCAGCUUGCAGACUCUGGGACUUGCACCAGCAGCCUCCCAGGGGGGCUCUUGGACCUGAGGCCUGCACUCUCAGCUUCCCUGGUUCUAAGGCUUUGGACAGAAACUGA